Long non-coding RNA from Betta splendens (Siamese fighting fish), 1083 nucleotides. RefSeq lists it as uncharacterized. The transcript is spliced from 3 exons. The record is from RefSeq and is a predicted model, not a curated record. Lineage: Eukaryota; Metazoa; Chordata; Actinopteri; Anabantiformes; Osphronemidae.
UCAUCUAAGGCGUUACUUCAAUUGCAUGAAAUACCGACGUUUGUAUGAAUUAAAAGUGCAGUGUUAUGUCUAUGCAUUUUUAAAAUUCCUGUUGUGGUUGAUGUGGGAUUUGUAAAGUAAUGAUAAUUCAAUAAUCCAAUACGUUUUAUGGAGAGCAAUUAUUACAUUAAUCUAAUUAGGUUUUUAAAAGUUACCCAAAACACGUAAUAAUAUAAGAAAUUAAUUUCAGUUUUUAUGUAGGCGCAAUCCUGCAGACAUAGAAGAACGUGGCUAAAAAUGAAAUGUAAAAACAUAAUUCAAACAGGUAUAAGGCACCAUCAUGUUAUGGGUGUAGACUAACUGACUUUACAAUAUUUGACAUAUUAAAUAACUAAAUAGCAUGCAGAGUAUAGUAGUGCAGCAGCAUUUUCAACAUGGCUGUAAUGUUUUCACACAGUUAAACAUUUGACUUCUACUCAGCCAACAGAAAGAAGGCAGAGGCUAGAACAACUGGUGGAGGACCUGCACCUCCACCUCUGACGCAUGCAGAGGAGAAGGCACUCAGCCUGAACACUGGAAAGCAGGGGCUGAAGGAAUUCAUCAGAACCCGUCACUCCCCAGGAUACAAGUGCAUGUGUAAAAUAUUCUGAUGGUAAUAUAUGAAUCCUCCUGUCACAACAGAAGCCCAGGAUGUUAGUGUGAAAGAACAGCAGGAGGAGGUCAGUCACAUUCUGCUGCACAGAUGCACACAGUUCAGUGAUGUUCAGUAAAUGCCAGAGUUCAGUUCUGUAAGAGUAAUAAGGAACAUGUCAUGUCAAGAUGUCACUCUAAAUCUUCUGUAUUUUAAGUUACCGGUUAUUGAGUUGUAUAAAGUAAAUCUCAAGGAAAUGUUAUACUUGUACCACAAGAUUGAAAAGCCAGAUAUAGAAAUUAAAAUUCCCAAACACACGCUGGAGAUGAGUGUAUAGUUAAAGGUGAAUAGUAUGAAUUAUUGGAAGAAUCAUAAAAUCUAACAAUUGCCUUAUAGGAAAUGAAAAAAAACAAAUAAAUUAUGAUUUACAUCUAUUCAGUUUCUUUUAUUGGUGGUGGUGGUGGUGGUGGUGA